AUUGAACGCUGGCGGCAUGCUUUACACAUGCAAGUCGAACGGUAACAGGGUGCUUGCACCGCUGACGAGUGGCGAACGGGUGAGUAAUGCGUCGGAACGUGCCGAGUAGUGGGGGAUAACGCAGCGAAAGUUGUGCUAAUACCGCAUACGUACUGAGGUAGAAAGUGGGGGACCUUCGGGCCUCACGCUAUUCGAGCGGCCGACGUCUGAUUAGCUAGUAGGUGAGGUAAAGGCUCACCUAGGCGACGAUCAGUAGCGGGUCUGAGAGGAUGAUCCGCCACACUGGGACGGAGACACGGCCCAGACUCCUACGGGAGGCAGCAGUGGGGAAUUUUGGACAAGGGGCGCAAGCCUGAUCCAGCAAUUCCGCGGGCAGGACGAAGGCCUUCGGGUUGUAAACUGCUUUUGUACGGAACGAAAAGGCUCUGGUUAAUACCCGGGGCUCAUGACGGUACCGUAAGAAUAAGCACCGGCUAACUACGUGCCAGCAGCCGCCGUAA
This 500-nucleotide ribosomal RNA is filed under the name uncultured bacterium. RNAcentral's name for it is "partial 16S ribosomal RNA". It matches the Rfam family "Bacterial small subunit ribosomal RNA", at positions 30 to 523 of the family's 1533-position model. The record is from RNAcentral.